UCACGACCCUGUGUCAUAGCCUCAUCCAUC
RNAcentral lists this non-coding RNA (30 nucleotides) under Homo sapiens (human). Lineage: Eukaryota; Metazoa; Chordata; Mammalia; Primates; Hominidae. The record is from RNAcentral.